UACGUAGGUGGCAAGCGUUGUCCGGAUUUACUGGGCGUAAAGAGCGCGCAGGCGGUCGUUCAAGUCGCGUGUGAAAGCCCCCGGCUCAACUGGGGAGGGUCACGCGAUACUGAUCGACUGGAAGGCAGGAGAGGGUAGUGGAAUUCCCGGUGUAGAGGUGAAAUUCGUAGAUAUCGGGAGGAACACCAGUGGCGAAGGCGGCGACCUGGUCCAACAUUGACGCUGAGGUGCGAAAGCGUGGGGAGCAAACAGG
Molecule: ribosomal RNA, 253 nt
Filed under: uncultured bacterium
Lineage: Bacteria
Description: partial 16S ribosomal RNA
Rfam family: Bacterial small subunit ribosomal RNA
Source: RNAcentral